GACGAACGCUGGCGGCGUGCCUAAUACAUGCAAGUAGAACGCUGAAGGAGGAGCUUGCUUCUCUGGAUGAGUUGCGAACGGGUGAGUAACGCGUAGGUAACCUGCCUGGUAGCGGGGGAUAACUAUUGGAAACGAUAGCUAAUACCGCAUAAGAGUAGAUGUUGCAUGACAUUUGCUUAAAAGGUGCAAUUGCAUCACUACCAGAUGGACCUGCGUUGUAUUAGCUAGUUGGUGGGGUAACGGCUCACCAAGGCGACGAUACAUAGCCGACCUGAGAGGGUGAUCGGCCACACUGGGACUGAGACACGGCCCAGACUGCUACGGGAGGGAGCAGUAGGGAAACGUCAGCAAUGGACGGAAGUCUGACCGAGCAACGCCGCGUGAGUGAAGAAGGUUUUCGGAUCGUAAAGCUCUGUUGUAAGAGAAGAACGAGUGUGAGAGUGGAAAGUUCACACUGUGACGGUAUCUUAACAGAAAGGGACGGCUAACUACGUG
Molecule: ribosomal RNA, 495 nt
Filed under: uncultured bacterium
Lineage: Bacteria
Description: partial 16S ribosomal RNA
Rfam family: Bacterial small subunit ribosomal RNA
Source: RNAcentral